This 495-nucleotide ribosomal RNA is filed under the name uncultured bacterium. RNAcentral's name for it is "bacterial SSU rRNA". It matches the Rfam family "Bacterial small subunit ribosomal RNA", at positions 21 to 507 of the family's 1533-position model. The record is from RNAcentral.
GGCUCAGGAUGAACGCUAGCUACAGGCUUAACACAUGCAAGUCGAGGGGCAGCGGGAUUGAAGCUUGCUUCAAUUGCCGGCGACCGGCGCACGGGUGAGUAACGCGUAUCCAACCUUCCGUACACUCAGGGAUAGCCUUUCGAAAGAAAGAUUAAUACCUGAUGGUAUGAUGAGAUUGCAUGAUAGCAUCAUUAAAGAAUUCGGUUAUCGAUGGGGAUGCGUUCCAUUAGUUUGUUGGCGGGGUAACGGCCCACCAAGACUACGAUGGAUAGGGGUUCUGAGAGGAAGGUCCCCCACAUUGGAACUGAGACACGGUCCAAACUCCUACGGGAGGCAGCAGUGAGGAAUAUUGGUCAAUGGGCGCGAGCCUGAACCAGCCAAGUAGCGUGAAGGAUGAAGGCUCUAUGGGUCGUAAACUUCUUUUAUAUGGGAAUAAAGUUUUCCACGUGUGGAAUUUUGUAUGUACCAUAUGAAUAAGGAUCGGCUAACUCCGUG